Molecule: long non-coding RNA, 729 nt
Organism: Cyprinus carpio (common carp)
Lineage: Eukaryota; Metazoa; Chordata; Actinopteri; Cypriniformes; Cyprinidae
Source: Ensembl
UCCUUUUAUUAAUAUUAAUAAACCAUAAAAUCAUUCAAACUUGAAAAAAUCUAAACUUUCCUUGGUCAAUAACAAUAAACCACUCUAUAAAAAAGUAGGUAAUUGACCAUUUACGCAAAAACCGGAAACACGUCAACGAAGCGUAAACCCAGUUCCGGUGUGAGCUUUGUUGGCGGAGAAAUGGCAGCUAGAGUGUUUUUGACGAGCCUGAGUUGUCUUCCGAAGUUCACCAGCGCCGAUGUGGUGAAGAGUGUGGAGAUACAUUCGUCCACUAAAGGAAACAAAUUGGACAAGGGAUAUAAAUUCUUCCACGAAGAGUUUAUCCACAAUUACCAAGAUAUCACUGGAUGCAGAAAGUGCCAACCUGAAAGCUUUCUCCUGCAGUUGUGCGGCUGGUAAAGGAUUCUGCAAUCACAUAGUUGCCAUCCUGUACCAGACCGCACAUUAUUCACAGCUGGGUCUGCAGGCUGUUCCACCCGCCCUGGCCUCCACAAGUGGCUUGCAAAGAUGGCACAGACCAAGAACACAGGGAAUCCAUCCUGAACCGGUUAGUGAGCUGGUGGUGCAAAAGCCCAAAACAGUUGGCAAGGACGGUCUGAGGUCCACACUGUACAAGGCAUAUACAGGACCACUGCCAGAUCCAUAUAUGAUGGCAUCUGGAAGCAAAUUAAGCCAGGUGCAGCCCCAACCUCUCAUGGCUGUUGUAUUGGAUGGGGUUUCUGAGAUGGA